UACAGGGGGUGCAAACGUUGCUCGGAAUCAUUGGGCGUAAAGCGCACGUAGGCGGUUUGUCGCGUCUGCUGUGAAAACCCGAGGCUCAACCUCGGGCCUGCAGUGGGUACGGGAAGACUAGAGUGCGGUAGGGGAGAUUGGAAUUCCUGGUGUAGCGGUGGAAUGCGCAGAUAUCAGGAGGAACACCAAUGGCGAAGGCAGAUCUCUGGGCCGUAACUGACGCUGAGGAGCGAAAGCAUGGGGAGCGAACAGG
This 253-nucleotide ribosomal RNA is filed under the name uncultured bacterium. RNAcentral's name for it is "partial 16S ribosomal RNA". It matches the Rfam family "Bacterial small subunit ribosomal RNA", at positions 524 to 776 of the family's 1533-position model. The record is from RNAcentral.